RNAcentral lists this signal recognition particle RNA (88 nucleotides) under marine eukaryotic metagenome. RNAcentral describes it as "Bacterial small signal recognition particle RNA". It matches the Rfam family "Bacterial small signal recognition particle RNA". Rfam says of the family: The signal recognition particle (SRP) is a universally conserved ribonucleoprotein involved in the co-translational targeting of proteins to membranes. The record is from RNAcentral.
CGGUCCCCCCGCAACAAUAAGCUGUGAAUCCCGCCAGGCCCGGAAGGGAGCAACGGUAGCAGUGGAUUUGGGUGCCGGGGUGCGGCUG